UUGCGCUUCCAUCUGUCCGUCUGUCUCCCUCUCAAGUCCAUCCGUCUGUCAUGCUGGGUUACAGCUUCCUCCUGGCGGCGCUGUUGCUCUGCCUGGCUGGACAGUCUCUACAAGGAGGAGUCCAGCCACCAGGGGGCCCUCUAGGAAGAGCCGUGCCUAGCAGAGGGCUCGGUAUUGGUGCAGGACCCGGCGUGGGUGGAGCUAAAGCUGGAGGGACCAGACUUCCGUUUCCACAGCAGGGGGGGCUGGGGUUUGGGGGGGGCCCUUUUGGAGGGAGGUCUGUGAAAGCAGGUGGUCCCUACCCUGGAGCUCAACUCGGGAGAGGUGGAGCAGGAGCAGGGCCUUGGCAACCAUUCGGCCCCCAGGGAGGCUUCGGUGCUGGACCCAGCCUGGGGAACGGACUGGGCGUGGGGCCGCAACUGGGAAAGCCACGCAAAGGGUAUGCAGCUAAUGGCUUUGGCUACGGUGGAACUUUGGGAGGUUACGGUCCCGCAGCCGGCAUCUUUCCCAGACCAGGACUGUCUCCGGGCACAGGACGUGCUGGGGUGCAAAACGGACAGGGGGCAAAAGCAGCUAAAGCAGGUUACGGUCCCCAGCCUGGAGGUUAUACAGGAGUAGCACUUGGAAACGGCUUUGGUCCAGGUGUGGGGGCUGCUGGAUACCCUCAGGUUGGAAAAGCUAGACCAGCAGAUUAUGGUGCUGGCCGGGGUGUUUUUCCUGGGGCGGCGCUGGCCAAUGGCUUUGCACCGGGGCUUGCCACCGACCCCUACGGAGGACAGGGCCUGGGACUGGGGGUCCAGCCUGGAAAAUAUGGGGGUGCUGGAGGUGGACCAGGUGUUGGAGUUGGUGGUCCCCAGGCUCACCUGCCUUAUGGGGGCCAGGCAGUGGUCCCUGCUAGGCUGGGAGGCAAUGGCAAGGCGGUCGGUUACAGUCAGGGACUGUCACCAUAUGGGGCUCAUCCCGUCCAACCGGUGGGGCUGGCUGAUGACAGGGACCUAGGUGGACUGGGCGGCGAGCUUGGCGGCGGACUGUUCGAGUCCACGGCAGGGAAACGCGGUGGAAUUGGGCAGCUUUACAAUGGUGCCCCCGUUGUUCCUGUGGCACAGAACGGAAAUGGGGGCUAUCCAUAUGGUCCCCAAGCCUUGGCAGCCAAUGGGAAACCGACAAGCAAACAUGGAGAUGGAGGGUACCAGAAUGGUCCCGUGCAACCAGCAGGAUAUGUUGGACUCGGUGAUGGUGCAGGCCCGUAUGGUGGCAAGGAGAGCAAGUAUGGACUGAAUGGAUUCUUUGGAAAUGGAUAUCGAGUUCAGGCACCAACCGCAUCCAGUAUCUGACUCCUGUUGUUUGUCCUUCGCGUGUGGCAUCUGGAAUUAAUACAAAGCUGGUUAGUCCACACACUCACAGACACACGAACACAGUGCACUCCCCUGCCUAACGUCCCCAGCAUGCUUGACAAGGAUUUAACAAGGACGACACAACCGGGGACAACCUGGUCUUAUACAAUGAUAAGAAGAUGAGUGGAAAGGAAGAGAGAAGACAAGAGAGGACUGAUGGAAACGUUCUCGGUGUGACGGGCGGCCUGGACUACAUGUUAGCACAUGAAGAAAAGAGUUAGAUACCUGAGUUAGUGUCUGAGCUCGCAGCGAGUGAGUGAAACUGAAACUCUACUCUGAGCUUCGUAAUGCUAGAGUCCUUGUCAUACCAUAAGCUUUUUAUUGUCAUCUGUGAUUAUCUUACUAUGACUAAUGGAUCUUUUAAUUUGAUCUCUGUUUUAAAGCUGCAUCUCAAGAUAAACACAUUACCAACCUUCGCACAUUUUUUUAAAAAUCUUGAUCAACAGACAGGAAACCGCAUUAUUUCCUUUUGCUCUGGAGGACUCUUUCUUUCUUUCUUGUCGUUUUUCUGACAUGUUAAAACUAUCCAGCUCAUCAGGUGUCUGUUGUUUGCGAAUGCCUUUUGGGAUGUGCCCAGUCUCCAGAUGCCUAAUCCUGUC
Molecule: non-coding RNA, 1993 nt
Organism: Paramormyrops kingsleyae
Lineage: Eukaryota; Metazoa; Chordata; Actinopteri; Osteoglossiformes; Mormyridae
Source: RefSeq, a predicted model, not a curated record